This 30-nucleotide transfer RNA is filed under the name Oreochromis alcalicus (Natron tilapia). Its description in RNAcentral is "partial transfer RNA-Thr". Lineage: Eukaryota; Metazoa; Chordata; Actinopteri; Cichliformes; Cichlidae. The record is from RNAcentral. RNAcentral also lists the same sequence under 5 other names.
GGAUGUCGAAGGUUAAAGUCCUUCCUACUG